RNAcentral lists this ribosomal RNA (429 nucleotides) under Chloroflexota bacterium. Its description in RNAcentral is "Chloroflexi bacterium partial 16S ribosomal RNA". It matches the Rfam family "Bacterial small subunit ribosomal RNA", at positions 355 to 776 of the family's 1533-position model. Lineage: Bacteria; Bacillati; Chloroflexota. The record is from RNAcentral.
UGGGGAAUAUUGCACAAUGGGCGCAAGCCUGAUGCAGCCAUGCCGCGUGUAUGAAGAAGGCCUUCGGGUUGUAAAGUACUUUCAGCGGGGAGGAAGGGAGUAAAGUUAAUACCUUUGCUCAUUGACGUUACCCGCAGAAGAAGCACCGGCUAACUACGUGCCAGCAGCCGCGGUAAUACGUAGGUGGCAAGCGUUGUCCGGAUUUAUUGGGCGUAAAGCGAGCGCAGGCGGUUUCUUAAGUCUGAUGUGAAAGCCCCCGGCUCAACCGGGGAGGGUCAUUGGAAACUGGGAGACUUGAGUGCAGAAGAGGAGAGUGGAAUUCCAUGUGUAGCGGUGAAAUGCGUAGAUAUAUGGAGGAAUACCGGUGGCGAAGGCGGCCCCCUGGACGAAGACUGACGCUCAGGUGCGAAAGCGUGGGGAGCAAACAGG